This 84-nucleotide transfer RNA is filed under the name Bacteroidota bacterium. RNAcentral's name for it is "Bacteroidetes bacterium tRNA-Leu". It matches the Rfam family "tRNA". From Rfam's summary of the family: Transfer RNA (tRNA) molecules are approximately 80 nucleotides in length. The record is from RNAcentral. Lineage: Bacteria; Pseudomonadati; Bacteroidota.
GCCCGGGUGGCGGAAUUGGUAGACGCGCAUGGUUGAGGGCCAUGUCAACGCAAGUUGGUACGAGUUCGAGUCUCGUUUCGGGCA